Molecule: ribosomal RNA, 303 nt
Filed under: uncultured bacterium
Lineage: Bacteria
Description: partial 16S ribosomal RNA
Rfam family: Bacterial small subunit ribosomal RNA
Source: RNAcentral
AGCAGUCGCCACGGUAAUACGUAGGUGGCAAUCGUUGUCCGGAAUUAUUGGGCGUAAAGGGCUCGCAGGCGGUUUCUUAAGUCUGAUGUGAAAGCCCCCGGCUCAACCGGGGAGGGUCAUUGGAAACUGGGAAACUUGAGUGCAGAAGAGGAGAGUGUAAUUCCACGUGUAGCGGUGAAAUGCGUAGGGAUGUGGAGGAACACCUGCGGCGAAAGCGGCUCACUGGACCAUUACUGACGCUGAUGCACGAAAGCUAGGGGAGCAAACAGGAUUAGAUACCCGUGAGUCCCUGUCUCUUAUACA